GACGAACGCUGGCGGUGUGCUUAACACAUGCAAGUCGAACGGUAAGGCCCUUUCGGGGGUACACGAGUGGCGAACGGGUGAGUAACACGUGAGUAACCUGCCCUCAUCUCUGGGAUAACAGUCGGAAACGGUUGCUAAUACUGGAUAUGAGCUUGCAAGGCAUCUUAUGGGUUGGAAAGAUUUUUUUGGUUGGGGAUGGACUCGCGGCCUAUCAGCUUGUUGGUGAGGUAGUGGCUCACCAAGGCUUCGACGGGUAGCCGGCCUGAGAGGGCGACCGGCCACAUUGGGACUGAGAUACGGCCCAAACUCCUACGGGAGGCAGCAGUGGGGAAUAUUGCACAAUGGACGGAAGUCUGAUGCAGCAACGCCGCGUGCGGGAUGACGGCCUUCGGGUUGUAAACCGCUUUCAAUUGUGACGAAGCUUUUUUGUGACGGUAGCAGGAGAAGAAGCACCGGCUAACCACG
Molecule: ribosomal RNA, 465 nt
Filed under: uncultured bacterium
Lineage: Bacteria
Description: partial 16S ribosomal RNA
Rfam family: Bacterial small subunit ribosomal RNA
Source: RNAcentral